CCUACGGGUGGCAGCAGUGGGGGAUAUUGCACAAUGGGGGGAACCCUGAUGCAGCGACGCCGCGUGAGUGAAGAAGUACUUCGGUACGUAAAGCUCUAUCAGCAGGGAAGAAAAUGACGGUACCUGACGAAGAAGCCCCGGCUAACUACGUGCCAGCAGCCGCGGUAAUACGUAGGGGGCAAGCGUUAUCCGGAUUUACUGGGUGUAAAGGGAGCGUAGACGGCGGGGCAAGUCUGGAGUGAAAGCCCAGGGCUUAACCAUGGGACUGCUUUUGAAACUGUGCGGCUAGAGUGCAGGAGAGGUAAGCGGAAGUCCUGGUGUAGCGGUGAAAUGCGUAGAUAUUAGGAGGAACACCAGUGGCGAAGGCGGCCUACUGGACUGUAACUGACGUUGAGGCUCGAAAGCGUGGGGAGCAAACAGGAUUAGAUACCCGGGUAGUC
This 440-nucleotide ribosomal RNA is filed under the name uncultured bacterium. Its description in RNAcentral is "partial 16S ribosomal RNA". It matches the Rfam family "Bacterial small subunit ribosomal RNA", at positions 338 to 795 of the family's 1533-position model. The record is from RNAcentral.